RNAcentral lists this ribosomal RNA (1522 nucleotides) under Salmonella enterica subsp. enterica serovar Welikade. RNAcentral describes it as "bacterial SSU rRNA". It matches the Rfam family "Bacterial small subunit ribosomal RNA". Lineage: Bacteria; Pseudomonadati; Pseudomonadota; Gammaproteobacteria; Enterobacterales; Enterobacteriaceae. The record is from RNAcentral.
AAAUUGAAGAGUUUGAUCAUGGCUCAGAUUGAACGCUGGCGGCAGGCCUAACACAUGCAAGUCGAACGGUAGCACAGAGAGCUUGCUCUCGGGUGACGAGUGGCGGACGGGUGAGUAAUGUCUGGGAAACUGCCUGAUGGAGGGGGAUAACUACUGGAAACGGUAGCUAAUACCGCAUAACGUCGCAAGACCAAAGAGGGGGACCUUCGGGCCUCUUGCCAUCAGAUGUGCCCAGAUGGGAUUAGCUUGUUGGUGAGGUAACGGCUCACCAAGGCGACGAUCCCUAGCUGGUCUGAGAGGAUGACCAGCCACACUGGAACUGAGACACGGUCCAGACUCCUACGGGAGGCAGCAGUGGGGAAUAUUGCACAAUGGGCGCAAGCCUGAUGCAGCCAUGCCGCGUGUAUGAAGAAGGCCUUCGGGUUGUAAAGUACUUUCAGCGGGGAGGAAGGUGUUGUGGUUAAUAACCGCAGCAAUUGACGUUACCCGCAGAAGAAGCACCGGCUAACUCCGUGCCAGCAGCCGCGGUAAUACGGAGGGUGCAAGCGUUAAUCGGAAUUACUGGGCGUAAAGCGCACGCAGGCGGUCUGUCAAGUCGGAUGUGAAAUCCCCGGGCUCAACCUGGGAACUGCAUUCGAAACUGGCAGGCUUGAGUCUUGUAGAGGGGGGUAGAAUUCCAGGUGUAGCGGUGAAAUGCGUAGAGAUCUGGAGGAAUACCGGUGGCGAAGGCGGCCCCCUGGACAAAGACUGACGCUCAGGUGCGAAAGCGUGGGGAGCAAACAGGAUUAGAUACCCUGGUAGUCCACGCCGUAAACGAUGUCUACUUGGAGGUUGUGCCCUUGAGGCGUGGCUUCCGGAGCUAACGCGUUAAGUAGACCGCCUGGGGAGUACGGCCGCAAGGUUAAAACUCAAAUGAAUUGACGGGGGCCCGCACAAGCGGUGGAGCAUGUGGUUUAAUUCGAUGCAACGCGAAGAACCUUACCUGGUCUUGACAUCCACGGAAGUUUUCAGAGAUGAGAAUGUGCCUUCGGGAACCGUGAGACAGGUGCUGCAUGGCUGUCGUCAGCUCGUGUUGUGAAAUGUUGGGUUAAGUCCCGCAACGAGCGCAACCCUUAUCCUUUGUUGCCAGCGGUCCGGCCGGGAACUCAAAGGAGACUGCCAGUGAUAAACUGGAGGAAGGUGGGGAUGACGUCAAGUCAUCAUGGCCCUUACGACCAGGGCUACACACGUGCUACAAUGGCGCAUACAAAGAGAAGCGACCUCGCGAGAGCAAGCGGACCUCAUAAAGUGCGUCGUAGUCCGGAUUGGAGUCUGCAACUCGACUCCAUGAAGUCGGAAUCGCUAGUAAUCGUGGAUCAGAAUGCCACGGUGAAUACGUUCCCGGGCCUUGUACACACCGCCCGUCACACCAUGGGAGUGGGUUGCAAAAGAAGUAGGUAGCUUAACCUUCGGGAGGGCGCUUACCACUUUGUGAUUCAUGACUGGGGUGAAGUCGUAACAAGGUAACCGUAGGGGAACCUGC